UCUGGGUUUAUCCCAGCGGUCCCGUUAGAAAGAUUUAACUAACGGCGAGGGUUGCGCUCGUUGCGGGACUUAACCCAACACCUCACGGCACGAGCUGACGACAGCCAUGCAGCACCUGUGCUAGCUCCCCGAAGGGUCCUUCAUCUUUCGAAUCCGUACCACUAGCAUGUCAAGCCUUGGUAAGGUUCUUCGCGUUGCAUCGAAUUAAACCACACGCUCCGCCGCUUGUGCGGGCCCCCGUCAAUUCCUUUGAGUUUAGCCUUGCGGCCGUACUCCCCAGGCGGGAUGCUUAAAGCGUUAGCUGCGGCACGGAAGGGGUCGACACCCCCCACACCUAGCACCCAUCGUUUACGGCUGGGACUAC
This 364-nucleotide unclassified non-coding RNA is filed under the name uncultured Dehalococcoidia bacterium. RNAcentral describes it as "contains 16S-23S intergenic spacer region". Lineage: Bacteria; Bacillati; Chloroflexota; Dehalococcoidia. The record is from RNAcentral.